CACUCUUGUUCAACAUAGUACUGGAAGUUCUAGGCAAAGCAAUCAGGCAAGAGAAAGAAAUAAAAGGUGUCCGAACUGGAAAAGAGGAAGUCAAAUUUUUCCUCUUUGCGGAAGACAUGAUUUUAUAUCUAGAAAAACCUAAAGGCUCUGCCCAAAAAAGGAAAAAAAAAAACAAACAAAAAACCCUUAGAUCUGAUAAAUAAAUUCAGAGAAGGUGCAGGAUACAAAAUCAACAUACAAAAAUCAGUAGCAUUUCUAUAUACCAAUAAUGAACAAUCUGAGAAAGAAAUCAAGAAAGCAAUCCCAUUUGCAAUCGUCACACACACACACACAAAUACCUAAGAAUAAAUUCAACAAAGGAGGUGAAAGACCUCUGUAAGGAAAACUACAAAACACUGAAGAAAAAAAUUGAAGAAGAAACUAACAAAUGGAAAACAUCCCAUGUUCAUGGAUUGAAAGAAUUAAUAUUGUUAAAAUUACCAUACUACCCAAAGCAAUCUGCAGAUUUAAUUCAAUCCCCAUCAAAAUACCAAUGUCAUUUUUUAUAGAAAUAGAAAAAAAAAUCCUAAAAUUUGCAUGGAACCAAAGACAGUUUAAAUAGCCAAAGCAAAAUCCUGAGCAAAAAGAACAAAGCUGGAAACAUCACACUCUCAACUUUUAAAAUAUAUUGUAAGGCUAAAGUAACCAAAAAAGCAUCGUAUUGGUAGGAAUGAAAGGGGAAUGGAGAGACGUUGGUUAAUGGGUACAAACAUACAGUUAGAUCGAAGGAAUAAGAUCUAACAAUCAAUGGCAGAGUAGGGUGACUAUAGUUAACAACAAUGUUUUGUCUAUUCCAAAAUAGCUAGAAAAGAGGAAUUGAAAUAUUCCCAAUAUAUAGAAAUUAUAAAUACUUGAGGUGAUGGAUACCCUAAAUACCCCAAAUUGAUCCUUAUCCAUUCUACGUAUCAAAAUAUCAUGUGCCUAUAAAAUAUGUACAAAUAUUAUGUAUCAAUAAUAAAAUGUUCAAGUCUUCUUACAACAGCAUGUUUACAAACAUGAACUUUUAAGUCAGACAGACAGAGGUGAAUCCCGGCUUUACCAUUUGCCAAUUGGGUGACCCAGAGCAACUUAGGUGGCUUCUCUGAGCCCCAGUGUACUCAUCUCAAAAUGAGGAUAAUAACGACUUUCCCAUAGGGUGAUAUGUUUAGUGUGUUUAGCACAGUGCCUCACACAGGGUCAAACACUCAAGAAAUUGUAGCUUUUUGUAUAGUUACCAAGAGCUGUAAAGGACCGCCUUUAUUUGUCAUAGAAACCAUUAAUAUCCCAUCCCACUAGCCUUUGUGUACUAAGUUCAUGGUUUAUGUUGACUUGGCUUGACUUCUGUCUUUUCUCCCUCAAGUCUCCAUGGGGAUUGAAAGCUCUCCCUAGUUGGGCCCUGGAAACUGUAGCUGGCUCCAUCCCAUGCUCUUUACCUUACCUUCCUUCCCAGGCAAUGCUCAGCUCAAUAGAAAGCUCAAGUCCUAUACAGUUGUCAGUUCAGUUGAACCAGAGGUUCAAUUACGCUGUGUAGCUGCUCCAGGGUAGCCUCUGCCUCAGAAGAAGACAAGAUAAGUGAUUGAUCUGCCACUGAUGCUCUGCCCCCAGGAGCUUUUCUUUCUCCAUUCCUGGCUCCUGGAGGUAAGGACAAUUUCUGGGAAAGUGGUUGCUGUAAGAGGUCAUUGUUACAUUUGGGGAUAUGUUCCUUUUAUCGAGAAAGCAAAUCUCUCCAAUGCUCAGCUUCAAGGUGUAGGUGAUGUUAGGGUGCCCUAUUUUUGGGAUUCUCCCAUUUGUCUGGCAACCAGAAAAUGUAAGAAAAUGCAGUACAAUCUUGCUAUUAAACACCUUGCUAUUCCAGAGAUUCAAUUUUACUGUGUAACUAUUUCUCUGUCUAAGACCUGUAAAUUCUACAUCACAGAUGCUGUUUUGGGCAUGGUUGCAUUCAGGAAGCUCCUGAGCCUCGGAGCCAUUAUAGCAUCUCACAGGCCAUGGGACACUGGCGUAUAGCCACAAUAGGAGAAAUGUGUCCACCAGGACAUCCUUAUCAAAGAGCACAAGAAAAUGAAAAGGGAACAGGCAGUCUUACCACUGCUCUCCAUCAGGCGUUCUCCUUCUCUUUUUUUUCCUAAUUAUGUUUAGUCAUCUUUCCUGGAAACUGUAAAUCUCGCUCAGUGAAAUUAUUCAUAUUUAUAGCCCCUGCAUGUAAGUGGCAUUGAACUCUAUUAAAAAUGAUAAAAGGUAGAUGCCUUUGAACGCUGGGAUCAGCCAGCCAAUUGUUUUAAGAUUCACCUCAACUGACUUUAAGACGCACAUGGGUAUCAUUUGGCAAUAAAGCAAGUUUUAUUAAAUUUAGGCAACUUUCUUCGAGAGACAGACAUAAAAUCCUGGCAAAGAUAAGAGCUAAAAUUAACCAGACACGUGGAAUGCUGAACAGCUGAAUUAAAACAGAAACUCGACAUCAUGCAGACAAUAACAUUCCAUCUAUGAGUGCCCUCUCCCCACCUUGAGGAUGGGAACUUCCUUGUCAUCUCAGACCCUUAUAAAAGGCCUCUGUGAAAAUGGAUGAAGUGUUUGGGUAGCCAAAAACCCUCUUUCUAAUGCCAUACUUAAAGUUCUCCUAAACUUUUAAAUCCAACAUCCCCUAAACAAAUACGUCCAUUUAUUCACAAUAAAUCAAUUUUUUUUUUCAGAAGAAGAUUCAAUUAAAAAAAAAUUCCUAUGUCCCUGCUCUUCAAUGUUUUAGCCAUUGCACAGUAAUGGCUUGCCUAAUUCUCUUUUAAAACCAAAUUCAUGUCCCCAACCAUGGAAGGUAUUGAGCCCAUUAAAUUUGGGGUGCUUCUGCAAAUGAAGUUUUGUAUAUGUUUACUUCUUGGUGCAAAAGAAAUUACAUGCACAUUACAGUAACAUCAGAAAAUAUAGACAAGCAAAUGAACCAUAUCAAACAGCUACAAUUCCAAUCACCCAGAAAUGAUAUAUGCAUAUAAACAUACCUGCACAUUAUAUGUGUGCUCCAUAUGCCACACAAAUGUAUGAGUAAAUCAUUUGUCUUCAUGAGCAUGCAAACAUAUAUAUGCACAUCAUACGUGUCCUAUAUAAAAAUAUAUACAUUGUCUUCCGCAUGCGUACACACAUAUAUGUAUGCAGAUAUAUCUCUUAUGAUACAAGUGUAUGCAUACAUUAUGUGUGUUUUUCAUAUACACACAAACACAUAUGCAUACCACAUGUGCCUUUCAUAGUCACACAAACACAUGCACAUAAUAUGUGCCUUUCAUAUGCCUGCAAACACAUAUGAACCUCGUCUUUUAUGCACAUAUAUACAUAUAUGCAUGACAUAUGUGCCUUUAUCUAUAUCUGUGAUUUUCCAAAAUUAAGAUAAUGUAUACAUUGUGUACAUCCUCUAUUGUCACCUGAUUUUUCACUUUGUCUGUUUUUUGUUUCUCACUCUCACAGGAUAUACAUCUUUCCACACCAAUAGACCUUGUUUUCCGAUGUAGCAUUAUUUUUCAUAGUUGGCGAAUAUACAGUUAUGGAUUCAUAACAGCAAGAUGGAGAAAUUGCACUGCAGAGAAAUCUUUAAAAGCAAUUACCUAAUACUGCAGAUUGCUGAACUGUACCCACACCCAAGACUGAGCAUUGGAUCAAUCCAGAAUAUACAUCAGGUGUUCUGCAAUGUCUGCCUAAAACCAUGACUCUGCCUCCUCCAGCUGUUGCUACAUCUCACUAUGGGUUUCCUGUGACAUUUUGAGCAAGUAUGCCUCUGUGACUGGGGUUCUUACACUCCAGAAUGGAUGAGAAGCACCGUAAGUGGCUUUUAAAAUGAAUAUUCCCUGGCCCUUCAGUCGCUCUAUAGGUCAAGAAUCUGAAUUCUCAACCUGUCUAGAAGGUUCUGGUUUUAAUGGUCUGUGGGCUGCACAUUGAGAAACCUGUUCAGCGAGUGCAACAAAGGUUCCACAUGUGAGAAAGGAAGCAUCAGGUCUCUUGAGCCUGUUCUUUAAUCUGUAGGCUGCACCUUCUCUUUAAAUUCUGCUAAUAACACCAUGCGAGAAAACACCCGAGCUUGAAAAGCCCAUGUUCCAACAUAACUGUCCUUCACCACUCUGGAAAAUUAAUGGUUUGUUUCGAUUAUCCCUUUGUUAAACUCCAAAGUCAAAGAGCUCUGAAAGGCAUACGGUUAUUUUAAGUUUCAGGUGAUUUCUGUUGCCAAAUAUUUUAAAAAUUUAAAAUUGCUACGUGACCUCUUAGUAGUACUAUUAGAUUUCCUGACAAUAAAAAUAAGUCUUUUGGUUUCACCAUUUAUAGUUAGUACAGCUAAUAUUAAGUAUAAUUUUAAAAGCCUUUUAUUUUCUCAGAAAGAAAAAAUAAUCAAAAUCUGCUCAGUGUGGUAUUGAAUAAUUAAAAACAAAAGAACAGUAUCUUCACAUUAGUGUUUAAUAUUAAUUGCUUUUUUACCCUUGACACUGGUGCUAAUUAAAUUUUCAUUUUAUUUUCCAUGACUUGUUUAAA
This is a long non-coding RNA of Homo sapiens (human), 4518 nucleotides long. The record is from Ensembl. Lineage: Eukaryota; Metazoa; Chordata; Mammalia; Primates; Hominidae.